AGCCCAUGAGAUGGGCAUUUAAGGAAGAGUUUCUUAAACCUCACCCACGUUUCAUGGAUGGGUUCAUCUUCCCAUUGCUUGAAACAUUGAAUGUCAUCUCUAAGUUU
Molecule: small nucleolar RNA, 107 nt
Organism: Solanum verrucosum
Lineage: Eukaryota; Viridiplantae; Streptophyta; Magnoliopsida; Solanales; Solanaceae
Source: RefSeq, a predicted model, not a curated record